CUGGAAUAACACGAGGAAACUUGUGCUAAUACCGGAUAAGUCUUUACGGAGAAAGCUUUAUGCACCAUUGGAUGAGCCCGCACUUGAUUAGUUUGUUGGUAGGGUAAUGGCCUACCAAGACUAUGAUCAAUAGCUGAUUUGAGAGGAUGAUCAGCCACAUUGGGACUGAGACACGGCCCAAACUCCUACGGGAGGCAGCAGUGGGGAAUCUUGCACAAUGGAGGAAACUCUGAUGCAGCGAUGCCGCGUGAGUGAAGAAGGCCUUUGGGUUGUAAAGCUCUUUCGUCGGGGAAG
RNAcentral lists this ribosomal RNA (294 nucleotides) under uncultured bacterium. RNAcentral's name for it is "partial 16S ribosomal RNA". It matches the Rfam family "Bacterial small subunit ribosomal RNA", at positions 138 to 447 of the family's 1533-position model. The record is from RNAcentral.